CUAACUCAUAAUCUUUCACCCAAUUUGGCGGACGGCCCUGGCGAGUUGAUCUCCUGGUCGAACCCGGUUCGUGUUCGUUCAACAGACUUGGGUCGAUGUCUCCCGAUUCUUCAGUUUGUUCAGAAUCCAUUGCUGCUGCUCUAAUCUUCUCAACGUCUCCUUGUAUGGCUUUAUCGUCCACCGGAGUCGCAUCAUAACCUCAGUGUCGUUUACCCUGAUAUUUCUACAGCAUAUGAUCAUGGCAAAGAGGAAUAUGAAUGAUAUCAAAGACUUAGGUACCCAGUUGAUGAAUUGUGGUACCAUCGAUAUUGUGAAGCUUCUUUACUCUUCUUCUUUUUUCCUCUCCUUUUCUAUACUAUUUCUUUAGGUAAGAUCGUUGUUGAGUCGGAGGUUAGGGGAAGUUUAAAUGGUAAAAAGAGACGUCGGCAAAGUCAACCUUCCACCGUUGGUCACGCUCCAUCGAGCGUUGGGCUUGGUCCACGUUUUUGCCGACUUUAG
Molecule: long non-coding RNA, 498 nt
Filed under: Zostera marina
Lineage: Eukaryota; Viridiplantae; Streptophyta; Magnoliopsida; Alismatales; Zosteraceae
Description: long non-coding RNA (ZMAR_LNC003947)
Source: RNAcentral